This 144-nucleotide ribosomal RNA is filed under the name uncultured bacterium. RNAcentral describes it as "partial 16S ribosomal RNA". It matches the Rfam family "Bacterial small subunit ribosomal RNA", at positions 334 to 474 of the family's 1533-position model. The record is from RNAcentral.
UACUCCUACGGGAGGCAGAGUGGGGAAUCUUGGACAAUGGGGGCAACCCUGAUCCAGCAAUGCCGCGUGGGUGAAGAAGGCCUUCGGGUUGUAAAGCCCUUUCGGCGGGGAAGAAAUCGGCCGGGCGAAUAGUCCGGUCGGAUG